AGUAUACCAGUGUCAGAAUAAAAAAAAAAUGUGUAGAACAUUUUGAAUGCAGUGUUUAGUAUCAAACUGAGGAGCUCCAGUUACAAAAAUAUUUAUUACCUCCUGAACUGGAUGUAAAAUGAAUACAAUCAGAAAUUUAAAAAAAAAAAAAAAAUUCAUGUUUGGUGCUUCUGCUAAAUUAGGUAAAAAUUACUCUUCAGUUAAUAUAAUUAGGUUUACUGAAAAGGCAUUUUGAGUUUUGUAACAAAAGCAGAGUGUGACUUAAAUAUAUAAAAUUCUGGCAGAAUAAAUGAAGCCAAUAGCUGUGUUUCCAUCCAUGUGUUUUUACGGGCAUUCAGUGGUUUUACGUUUCAAAGAGGGGUCACUUUGAAGAACAGUUAAUGCACUUAAUGAGAUGGAAAUAAGUCAGCUCUGAAAUGGUGAGCAUCUUGCCCAUGUGACUGAUCAGCUGAUUCCUGGCAUCCUCCAGUUUAUUCACAUUAGGGUGAAAACUGGUAACAGCUGUCACUACCUGAUCCAAAGUGGAGACCCCAUGUGUGUCUGAAAAUGCAGAAGGAAUUCGUCUGUAUUUCAAAGUGCCAUUUAUCUUUGGUUUUAGUUCUUUAUUAAAAAGUAAUUAAAUGUUUUAAUCAAUUACAUGUACUUUUUAAAAGGAUUUCACAGUGUAUGUUCAGUUAAGAUAGGCUAACAUUAGCUAUUGAACUAACAGCAGUUAACAUUAGCCAGAGAAGUAAACAGGUGAUAUUCACUACAGAGGGAUGGGAUGGAUGCUGAUGAGAGUUAUUGUUAAUGAGAGAACUAAGCCCAGACUGAGGCAAAAUUACACAAGAGUAUGGGCUCAUGAGAAAACAUUGAUCAUUGGAGCCUUAUAGUUAUACCAAGUAUUAAUCAUUUAAUAAAUUAAAUGUAGCUAAUCUUUUAUUUCAUAGCACCAUAUGUCAGAUAUUCUUUACCAAACAAGAUAACAGUUUUAACAUAUUUUAUGUAAUAAGCACUAAAACCAAUUUAUUUUUAAUUCCACAAACUGCUGUAGAUUAUGUAUAAAUCUAUUUAACAAUUUCAAAGGGCCACUUGUAUGGAAACACAUCUAUUGUUUUGAUCAUUUUGAUCUGUCGCCCCCCUGGUGGCUGAGCAGCACUCAGUUUGAUUGGCUCGGGCUGACCGUCACAUAUCUGUCCUAUAAAAAAACAAACAAAAAAAAAACAAAACUCCACUGUACAGACGACCUCUGUCAGACUACAUUCUGAAGCAUCAUCAGUGUUUGUUUUGACUUUAUUUUAAUAUUAAUCCAGAUUUCACUUUGACUGUAGAGAAUGUGGGUGAACAGAAGAGAGUGGUCGAUCUGAGGUUUACACACAACGUACAGGGUGUCGUCCAAAUAAGAGCAGCAUGACUAACAAUACAGUCACAUGUUAUUUAGUUUCACAUGUUCUUGAGAUUGAACAGGAAGAGCAUUUUAAUGACCAAGUAUUAAUCGUUUUUUACAGAUCUGUCGAGUAUUUACAGCAUGUUUAAAUGUGCCAAUGCAUUUUGUCAAAUCAAUGAAACAAUUAGAUAAAUAAUUGUUAUGUUAAAGAUCAUCUUAGUGUUAUCAGAAUGAAAACUGGUAUUACAAUAAUGUCAUUUGGUUUUAUUUUAAUAUGAGACUUGUUUUAUUGAACUCUAUAAUUUAUCUUAGAUGUUUAGGGCCUAAAAAUUUAAAUUGACCUAAAAGAGAAGCUGAUACCAGUUCUUGUUUUGUUGUUUUGACCAAAUCUUAUAUCCCUUUCUGAAGGAAAGUGUUAUAGAUAUGUUUUUUAAUUGUUAAAAAAAAUUGGUUUAUUGCUACGAAUAUAAAUAUAUAUAUAUACAGUAUAUUAAAAAAAAAAAAAAAAAAAGCAGCUGCUUUUGUUAUUUUGACCACACCUUGUAUCCAGUUGAUAUGAAAAUCCGAGACUCUUCAGUGAACAGUGUUAAAAGGCUGAUGGAUUUGUAAAAUGAGUUGUCGUCGUGGCCUUUGUUCAAAUAGCUCAAGUUUUACCUGUUUGCUGCUCUUUGGUUUCGGUCGCCACUCAUUUGGAAAAAGGUUCCAUUUCACUAUUAAAUAUCAGAUGUACUGUACAUACUACUACUGCUUAACUAUUCUGUUUCUACUUGUCAUUACUAAGUAAUUCUUGUGGAAUGACUUUGUUGCUUUUAGAGGUUUGUUUUUUAGAUUGUUGUGUAUGUGAAUCAUUAGCUGAGCCUGAAUUUCAGUUGUAGAUGUAAACAACCGGAUAUUUGGAAACAAUGUCUCAGCUGUUUUGGUUUUUUUUUUUUUAGGUUUUAUUUAAUUUAAUUUUUUUCUUUUUUUAAUUAAAUUUGUCUGUGGAUGAAGAAACGCACUUUGGUACGACUGUCGACAAAAACAAAAAAAUAUAUCAACUGACAAAAACCUGCAGGCAGUUUCUGAAAGCUCAGCACUGUACACUCUUCUACGGUUCUUUCUCUUGCUUUGUGUGUCCAGUCCGACCUGUACGUCAUUAUUGGUGCCAUUCUUGUACAUUGUGUCACUUAAAACUUGAGGGAUGAUCUGGACUCGGAUCAUUGUCACAGAGUUUAAAUGUGUGUGUGUGCGUGUUGAACAAAUAAAAUGUUGCAGUUA
This is a long non-coding RNA of Sphaeramia orbicularis (orbiculate cardinalfish), 2623 nucleotides long. RefSeq lists it as uncharacterized. The transcript has 2 exons. Lineage: Eukaryota; Metazoa; Chordata; Actinopteri; Kurtiformes; Apogonidae. The record is from RefSeq and is a predicted model, not a curated record.